This is a long non-coding RNA of Xenia sp. Carnegie-2017, 976 nucleotides long. RefSeq lists it as uncharacterized. The transcript has 2 exons. The record is from RefSeq and is a predicted model, not a curated record. NCBI's taxonomy places the organism in Eukaryota, Metazoa, Cnidaria, Anthozoa, Malacalcyonacea, Xeniidae.
GACCGUUGAUUGGUUGAAAUCUCAAAGUACUGUCACCAAUGACUUAGAACCCAGUCUACUAGAUCUCUGACUCCGCCUAAAUUGUAUAGUAACGUGUGAGGCAAGCCGCCAUCUUGAAACGUGGCAAAACUGACGAUAUUUACGACAAAUAUCUGCUUUUGCUGUGUUGAUAUUGAGUCGCAAAGUGGAUAAUCUAGUUUUGCUUCUUGCCACCUUUCAAAAUGUCGUCCUUGCCUCAUCUUGUCACGGUAGUUAGACAUCUGGAAGAUUGGGUUCUAAAUCAUUGACGAUCACGUGGUAAUCGUUAUUAAGUGAAAUCUUAAUCUGACCAAGUGGAAGAUCUAUCCUAUACCUUUCACAGAAGCACAGCAAAGAUCAAACAUGUCCAUCCAUUCAGAUUUUUCUUCCUCGCUUUCAGCAUAAAUGAAGAAGUUUCGAAGUUUAUCAUGAACGACGCCAAAUGAAUGGUCUGGAAAUUUCUCGGUAACAUCUGCUUCAGCAAAUGUAUCUGCACACGAAAGAAGGAAAUAAAAAAAACGUAUAUUCAAUAAUGAUGAUGAAAGAGAUAUGUGGCGUAGCCAGUUUAGAUUGAAAUCUUUAAAGUCGUCGUACUAUAUCGAUUAGUUGUUCUUUGACCAACUAGAAUACAAGCAACAAAAAUAUACUUUCUAUAUUCGAGUAAUUAAGACGAUACAAUCUGCAAAUACGUCGAUGAUUGAGUGUGAUGGUAUUGACCUAACAUUUUCGCCAAUGAUUUCCGCUUUCGACUUAUUUCAUCUUCGAUGUUGGGGACAGUUCUGUAGCCACAUGGAUUGAUAGUUCUUUUGGGUUUUAGUCCCUUGUCAUAGGUCUGAAAUAGCAUGUUAAAAAACGUGGUUGGCUAAAAUGGAUAGUGUAAAAAUCAGCUCGCCAGAAACAGUUGAAAAUCGACGAUUUUUUUUCAAAGAGUUGGUUCAUUAAACUACUUCUGCCACAA